GCGCCCCGCGCGCUCUUCGCCCCCUUCUCUGCGUAUAGGCCUCGAUCCCCAGCACAAUCGCCAUCUCCAUGCCUAUCUUGGUGACCCUGCUGCACCGCCCGUGGAGACCGACCGGGCUGCCAAGCCUGUGGUGACCACACCGUCCCCUGCGGAUCUGACGCCCACCCGCAGCAAGCAAGGAAAUGGCGGUGCCGGCGUCGCCCGUCGCCGACGGUGAGGCUGCGGAGGCAAAAGUUGGAGUCGCUCCUGCAGACGCUCGACGGGCUGGGCGACGCCGAUCUCGUCUCAAUUCCCGACGUAGCCAUCGACUCCGAGGUGCAUACAAGGACAACGAGGGCGGUGACGACGACGGCGAUACGACAGCUUCAACGGCAAGUGAUUUGGACCGUGCGGCAAACCAGGUACGGAUACAGCGAGGUUUGGGCCUUUGAGAGUCUGAAAUUCAGACCAUGAGGUACUAAUUAAUUGCAUUAAUUGGCAUGUAAGUGCUGACGAAAGGUGGUGAUUCAACCAAGCUCUCGUUAUUUCAUGUUUGUAUCGACUAGACAAAUAGAUCUGAGUUGGAUACCUUGUUUGAGUUGUUUCCCGGUACUGCCAUAUUACUGUUGUUCUCAUAUUUGUUUGUGGUUCGUCUCUGUGGUGAGUGGGACUAGUAAGGAACCUGUGAACAUCUAGAGUCAGAUAGUCUACCAUGGAAAUAUGGGAAAAUUCGAAUCUGAACCCGAGCUCAUCUGCACCUGCGCUCACGAAAAAAAUCAAAAUAAAUACUAAAGAAAUUCAAAAAAUUCCAAAAAAAAUUGGGGUGGUGGACAAUUUGAUGCGCGAGGUACGCUCCAAUUUUCAAAACAUUUGGACUUCUGUGCAGCUCUCAGCAAAAAAGACAAAUCGGAGGUCUGUAAAAAUGUGUACUGUUCAUAUACUGUUCUGGUCUGAUUUGUCUUUUUUGCUGAGAGCUGCACAGAAGUCCAAAUGUUUUGAAAAUUGGAGCGUACCUCACGCAUCAAAUUGUCUACCACCCAAAUUUUUUUUGGAAUUUUUUGAAUUUUUCUGAAUUUUUUUCUGAAUUUUCUUUUGACCGGGUGCAGAUGCACCCGGGCACCGAAACGCCGCUCUCGGAAAUAUGCCCUUUUAUUAGAAGCAGGAUCAGCUGCAGUGAAGUUCUCCAAAAUAAAAAUGCCAGCCUCUGAUAUGGGGAAACAGUGGAAUGUGAUGAUUUAGGCUAAACAUCUAAUUAGCAUUUAUAUACCAGGAAUAUAACUGCUGCUAACAGAGGAUGCAGAUUGAGGAUCAGUAUAACAUGUGUAAUUAUUUUUUCUAUUUUACAUGCACCUUUUUCAUUUAGAAUGUCUGCAGAACAUCUCUUGUCACUUGGUUUUAGAUUUGCUGAGUGAUAGGAGGAAGAGCAUGGAGCAGUUCAUUUUUGCUGUGAAGCUGUACCAAUGAUCUUCUUAAAUCUAGGUUUGAAUCACCUGAGUUUCUUUAAGGUUUUGACAUGAUUGCGAAGUAUGUAUGCCAAGAUGGUGCAUGUAUACCUCUAUAAAAUGCGCUUGCUACUGCCGGCAGUGCUUAAUUUAUUCAAAUGUGGCCAGCUAAAAUAACCCAUGCAAUGGAUAUGGACGAUCAAUUGUCUUAGUUCAAGAUGAACAACCAUUAUGGUUUCAUUGCAUAUGCAGUCAUCCUGCUAGCUUUCCAACAAUUGUGCUUUUAUAUCUGUGGCAUUACAUAAACCUGUGAAUUUGGGAGUUCAUCAUGAUUAGGGUUGUUUAUACAUUAUACUUGGCGGCCCGUAAAUUUGUAAUUUUAGGAGUUCAUCAUGAUCAUGAUCAGGGUUGCUUAUAUUUUUGCAAAAUACGAAAGUAAUCGCAACAAAAACAACCAGAAUGGAUUCAAUUAACACUAAUUUGAGGUAGCACGUAAAUUCGGUUAACACUAAAGAUUCAGUUCAAACCAACAUUCAGUUAACAGAAAAGAUUCAGUUAACACUAAAUAGUCAGUUGACAAAUUGAGUUGAGUUAGCACAUAAAUUCAGUUAACAUAAACAUCAGAUAACACCUUAAUUCAGUUAAGCCAUGGUGAUCAAUGACAUCUUGUGCAGUGUCUAUGUACAUAAAGAAACAUACCACUAGCUUUAUCUACUAGCAAUGGUGGGAGACAUGAUGAUGAAAUGAAUAGCGUGGUUUCAGAGUUUGUUGUGACUUUAUGAGAUGCUCGUUGUUUAUUUUCUGCACCAACUUAUUUUGGUGGCAAACCAACCCUGCCGUGGUCUAGCAACUAAUUACAUGUUCUGAUUGCAGUUUCUUAAAGGAGAUAAUGCAAGUGGUAAAACAAAUGGCAUCAAGUUCAAUCACGGAAAAGAAAUCAAAUGGCCAUAGUUUUUUCUUGACAGGUGAAGCGUCUUUGAAUAAAUUUAAAAACUGCAGAGACAUACCCUGGCUGUCGGCAGCUCUUGUGUGUUAUGGGGGGCCUGGAGGGGAACAAUGGGACUUGUCCGAACAAUGCCGCCUCAGCGCCGGUUGGAGGAGAUAUCUGGCGUGACAAUGGCGACGAUGGGUUGGCCGGCCAGCCGAUCGUGGCUCAUGCAGAUGUAGGCAACCGCAUCGGCGGACACGGGCGAAUGGCAAAGGCACAUGACGCAGCCGCUACCUUCCCUCCUUGGUGUCGGGAUGGUCGCCAGCUGCAUGCUUGGCCCAGAGGCGGAGCUCCUCCGCCCGAUUCCGCGUCGAGCCUGUGCUGCCGCUGGUUUGUGCUGUCGUGCUGGCUAGUGCUGGAUGAGAUAUUUUUUUAGCACUUAGUGUUGGAUUGUUUUUUUUUCGAGGGCUGCACAUUGUGCUGGAUGAGAUGGAUCAGCCAAACUGUGGGUGCUAUUAGAUGAUAAAAAUAAUAACCUUGACUGUCAGGUGCGGGUGCAGGUGUUACAAGGAAAAUCAUGGGAUAUCGUUCCAGAGGGAUUUUCAGAGAAAUCCGUGAAUUUGCCCGCCUCAAUUUAGGAGCUUUUCUUUCUCCUUUGCCCCACGGGCUUGUAAUAAGCUAGCUCAUGCAUUGGCUGUAUUUUGGUGCUCGCUGUAUUGUCUGGUCUGAGGACCUUCCUGACGAUGUGAAAAGUUGUCUCCAUGACGUUUUUGCAGAAAACCCCUUCCCAAACUUCCGACACAACCUGCGCUCCUCGUUGUCUUCAAUCGACGCUUUGACACAGACGCAUGGACGCCGGAGCUUCCCUGCUCGGAUUCGUCGCGCUGCUUCCCUGCUCUCCCGCGUCGUAGCUCCCUUAGCUUCGCCGCGCUGCUCUCCCGCGCGUCCUCCUCCGUUGCUCCCUCUUGCCUUGCGCAGCUCCCCUGCCUCCCAAAUCUUCCCUCUUUCACACCCAAAAUCGUUUCUUCUUCCUCCUGCUUGCGUGCGGCGACGACACGUCCUCCUCGUUGCCCCCGACGCCGGAGGAGGCACGGGGCAAGCAGCAGCGGAGGAGAAAGGGGAUUCCGUUCGCCGCCAAGGCGCCCUGGGCAUGCUCCUCGAGUCCCUGCUCCUCGGGCCCCUCAUCACCUCCCUCCUCAAGAAGCAGAACAACAUGACGCAGGUCCUCUCCUCCCUUGUCAGCCUUCAUUUUGUUUGAGAUUAUUUUGUCCAGCAACUCCGUGGUUUGCUUCCGUUGCACUUAGCACGAUUCUGGUCUUAUUAAUGUUGGGGGCGAGCACAUGCUGCAGCGCACGGUGCUCCAGUUCUUUCAUUCAGUCAAGUUCUUUCAUUCAGUCAUGUUCUUUCAUUCAGUCAAAUUCAGUCAAAUUUUCUGAAGCUAGCAUCCUUUUUUACUACGUACAUCCUUUUUUUGUUUUCAGCAACUAUAGGUGCUACUACAUCUCUCUUUUUUUUGCAGGGACCAGGGCCAGGAAUUAAAAAACAAACAAAAGCAGGGGCCAGGAGUACAUCUCAACUUUUACUGUAUUUCUUGCUGACAACUAGUGCAAGUACACAUUCUGAAUAUUGAAAUUAUCUUCUGUUAGUUACUAGGAUAGUGGUUCAUCCUGCUUGUCUGAUCUGUGGAGGAGACCAAGGGCAUCAACCUCCCCAACUUGAAUUUGUGUUGUUGUUACUUGACAUGUUUGUGUUCCUCAUUUGGAGUCAGGUAAGACCUGUGAUACUUUGGAGAGGGACUUGGUAGUAUUAUAUGGGCAGUUUGGCCACAUAGUUUGGCAACCUAGUUUGAGGAGAACAAGUUUGCAUGCUGAUAAUCUUACCUACUUUGUGACAGAUCAACAUAUAAUUUCUUCUAGAAUUUGGAUGAUGUGUGCUAAACUGCUAAUAGUAUACUAACCAUACCUGGUUCAGCUAUAGAGAACAAGUUUUCAUGCUGCUGAUCUUACCUACUUCGUGACAGAUCAACAUAUAAUUUCUUCUGGACUUGGAAUGAUGUGUGCUAAACUGCUAAUAGUAUAAUAAUAAAACAUAUAGUGCAGUCAUUGAUUUAUCAUUUAUGUAACCUAAUGUGUGAUUCUUUUUGUCAUUUUGUUAAUCAGGCUGUGGCAUGGGACACCUAUCCUUGUGGUCAUCAGCAUCCUGGCAUACUUCUGCUUCUUGGAGCAAUUGCUGGUUGCGCAUAACGGCUUCGCCGCCCUGGCGAUUUCGCUGCCCUUCUCAUGCAUCCUAGGCCUCUUCUCAUCACUGACCACAACAAGCAUGGGGGCGAGGAUAUGUGGAUCUUCGCGGCGAUCCAGUUCCUCUUCGUCGUGUUCUUCACAACUCUGUUCUACAGAUAUCUGCAUCUGCAGGCUGUGAUUUCCAUCAUCCUGGCAACCUUACCAUGACACUACUAUUAUUGGACCAUUACACUCAUCUCUACCUGGAGAACAAAUUCCUUAGUGCAAGUUACUGAUUGAAUUUACACUCAUCUGCAGAGCGUGUAGAAAAAUUGAUUGUAUUUUGAUGACUGAAUUUAAAAUCACUACUUGGAGUACACACUGACUGAAUUUAACACUGCAAUUGAUUAUCCUGUGAUCCAUGGACAUUGCAAUUGUGCAUUAUCCUGGAUACAGAACAUGGAUCUCUGAAUAAUUCAAAUACUCUGAAUAAUUCAACAAUUGACAGGCAUAAUAUUUUUUCCUUCUCCCAUUUUAGACCAUAACAACAACAAUCUGGUCCACUUGCUCUUGAUGAUGCAUUUAGUUAACUUGUAAUUUUGCCAAAAUCUGGACCAGUUGCUCUUGAU
RNAcentral lists this ribosomal RNA (5197 nucleotides) under Triticum aestivum (bread wheat). RNAcentral describes it as "partial small subunit ribosomal RNA". Lineage: Eukaryota; Viridiplantae; Streptophyta; Magnoliopsida; Poales; Poaceae. The record is from RNAcentral.